Molecule: long non-coding RNA, 4815 nt
Filed under: Triticum aestivum (bread wheat)
Lineage: Eukaryota; Viridiplantae; Streptophyta; Magnoliopsida; Poales; Poaceae
Description: long non-coding RNA (TAES_LNC014747)
Source: RNAcentral
AGCCACGAAAUUGAGGUACGCAGAAGAUGAACUAACCUGAGAACUGAUGAACCAAAGAAGAGUCGGAGGUCGAGCAUCACAUAGCUGUCAGCUAUGGUGGCUUGUAGGCGGAUGUGUCUCACACCUAAGUUUUUGCCGCUGGACCGUGGUUACAUUCAUCCUAGCUUGGAGGCAACGGUGUGGGUGGGUAUGCAUGUGCAAGGCGAAGAAGUGGACGAAGGCCAAAGAAGCAAUCUCUGCCUCCCUAUCGCUGCGUCCUGCUCCUCAAUAUGUCACCUUAGUCAUGGCCGCCUUAUCCCUCAUGCUGCUGAUUUGAAUCUGCCCUACUCUUCUUCUCCUAGACUGCUCGAGCGCUUCAGCGGGUGCCUUGCCGACGACAGGGAAGGAAGGACCAGAGUAAGUAUAAUAUGGAAGUUCCUGUUCAAAUUAGUAGAAUAUGCUUACCAGGGGUUAGAAUUUAUAGAUAUAUACCAAUUUGUCACUACAGAUUAUAUAUAAUAUGAAAGUUCUUGUCAGUUUUCUUUGUAGUUAGUUUGCGACAAUCACAACAUGAUCAUUUGAAUAUUUUGUUGUAACAAAUCUAUUAUAGCUAUUGUUGUGAAAGAAAAAUCCUUAAAAAAUCACCCAAUAGCAACCCGAGGAAGUUAAGAGACAUAAAUGAUCCAGAUAUGGUUCCAUUAUGCUCCCUCUGUUCGAUAAUAUAUGACGUUUUCUGGCAGUACACAAUGCCAAAAACGUCUUAUAUUAUGGGAGAGAAGCGAGUUUGUGAUUCUUUUGGUUAUUCUUGAUUCCACAUGCUUCAUUUGGGUGAAUAAUCCAUUGGCAUCCAAAUUUGGAGAUUAAUUCACCUAUGUAAUGUGCAUAAUCAAUGACACAUUUUUGCUAUGAUGAAUAUGUAAAUAAAUUUUGUACAAUUCCAUAAAUACACAGUUAAGCAUUUUUGUUGUAAAGAUAAUGUAGAUAAUUUUUUAUAGCUUUGCAAAUAAGAUUAACCUUGGUGUAUAAAUCCGAUCAGAGUAGAGGUAGCUAUGCAAUGGUCUUGCGACACAUCAUUAGUCUAAGGCUCUAACCACAUUCAUGGAGAAUCUAACAUCCCAACUACGCAUAUCUGUUUGUUCCAGAAGCCACGAAAUUGAGGUACGCAGAAGAUGAACAAACCUGAGAACUGAUGAUCCAAAGAAGAGUCGGAGCUCGAGCAUCACAUAGCUGUCAGCUAUGGUGGCUUGUAGGCGGAUGUGUUUCACACCUAAGUUUUUGCCGCUGGACCAUGGUUACGUUCAUCCUAGCUUGGAGGCAACGGUGUGGGUGGGUAUGCAUGUGCAAGGCGAAGAAGUGGACGAAGGCCGAAGAAGCAAUCUCUGCCUCCCUAUCGCUGCGUCCUGCUCCUCAAUAUGUCACCUUAGUCAUGGCCGCCUUAUCCCUCAUGCUGCUGAUUUGAAUCUGCCCUACUCUUCUUCUCCUAGACUGCUCGAGCGCUUCAGCGGGUGCCUUGCGGACGACAGGGAAGGAAGGACCAGAGUAAGUAUAAUAUGGAAGUUCCUGUUCAAAUUAGUAGAAUAUGCUUACCAGGGGUUAGAAUUUAUAGAUAUAUACCACAAUUUUCACUACAGAUUAAAUAUAAUAUGAAAGUUCUUGUCAGUUUUCUUUGUAGUUAGUUUGCGACAAUCAAAACAUGAUCAUUUGAAUAUUUUGUUGUAACAAAUCUAUUAUAGCUAUUGUUGUGAAAGAAAAAUCCUUAAAAAAUCACCCAAUAGCAACCCGAGGAAGUUAAGAGACAUAAAUGAUCCAGAUAUGGUUCCAUUAUGCUCCCUCUGUUCGAUAAUAUAUGACGUUUUCUGGCAGUACACAAUGCCAAAAACGUCUUAUAUUAUGGGACAGAAGCGAGUUUGUGAUUUUUUUGGUUAUUCUUGAUUCCACAUGCUUCAUUUGGGUGAAUAAUCCAUUGGCAUCCAAAUUUGGAGAUUAAUUCACCUAUGUAAUGUGCAUAAUCAAUGACACAUUUUUGCUAUGAUGAAUAUGUAAAUAAAUUUUGUACAAUUCCAUAAAUACACAGUUAAGCAUUUUUGUUGUAAAGAUAAUGUAGAUAAUUUUUUAUAGCUUUGCAAAUAAGAUUAACCUUGGUGUAUAAAUCCGAUCAGAGUAGAGGUAGCUAUGCAAUGGUCUUGCGUCACAUCAUUAGUCUAAAGCUCUAACCACAUUCAUGGAGAAUCUAACAUCCCAACUACGCAUAUCUGUUUGUUCCAGAAGCCACGAAAUUGAGGUACGCAGAAGAUGAACAAACCUGAGAACUGAUGAUCCAAAGAAGAGUCGGAGCUCGAGCAUCACAUAGCUGUCAGCUAUGGUGGCUUGUAGGCGGAUGUGUCUCACACCUAAGUUUUUGCCGCUGGACCGUGGUUACGUUCAUCCUAGCUUGGAGGCAACGGUGUGGGUGGGUAUGCAUGUGCAAGGCGAAGAAGUGGACGACGGCCGAAGAAGCAAUCUCUGCCUCCCUAUCGCUGCGUCCUGCUCCUCAAUAUGUCACCUUAGUCAUGGCCGCCUUAUCCCUCAUGCUGCUGAUUUGAAUCUGCCCUACUCUUCUUCUCCUAGACUGCUCGAGCGCUUCAGCGGGUGCCUUGCCGACGACAGGGAAGGAAGGACCAGAGUAAGUACAAUAUGGAAGUUCCUGUUCAAAUUAGUAGAAUAUGCUUACUAGGUGUUAGAAUUUAUAGAUAUAUACCACAAUUUUCACUACAGAUUAAAUAUAAUAUGAAAGUUCUUGUUAGUUUUCUUUGUAGUUAGUUUGCGACAAUCACAACAUGACCAUUUGAAUAUUUUGUUGUAACAAAUCUAUUAUAGCUAUUGUUGUGAAAGAAAAAUCCUUAAAAAAUCACCCAAUAGCAACCCGAGGAAGUUAAGAGACAUAAAUGAUCCAGAUAUGGUUCCAUUAUGCUCCCUCUGUUCGAUAAUAUAUGACGUUUUCUGGCAGUACACAAUGCCAAAAACGUCUUAUAUUAUGGGACAGAAGCGAGUUUGUGAUUAUUUUCGGUUAUUCUUGAUUCCACAUGCUUCAUUUGGGUGAAUAAUCCAUUGGCAUCCAAAUUUGGAGAUUAAUUCACCUAUGUAAUGUGCAUAAUCAAUGACACAUUUUUGCUAUGAUGAAUAUGUAAAUAAAUUUUGUACAAUUCCAUAAAUACAUAGUUAAGAAUUUUUGUUGUAAAGAUAAUGUAGAUAAUUUUUUAUAGCUUUGCAAAUAAGAUUAACCUUGGUGUAUAAAUCCGAUCAGAGUAGAGGUAGCUAUGCAAUGGUCUUGCGUCACAUCAUUAGUCUAAGGCUCUAACCACAUUCAUGGAGAAUCUAACAUCUCAACUACGCAUAUCUGUUUGUUGCAGAAGCCACGAAAUUGAGGUACGCAGAAGAUGAACAAACCUGAGAACUGAUGAUCCAAAGAAGAGUCGGAGCUCGAGCAUCACAUAGCUGUCAGCUACGGUGGAUUGUAGGCGGAUGUGUCUCAGACCUAUGUUUUUGCCGCUGGACCGUGGUUACGUUCAUCCUAGCUUGGAGGCAACGGUGUGGGUGGGUAUGCAUGUGCAAGGCGAAGAAGUGGACGAAGGCUGAAGAAGCAAUCUCUGCCUCCCUAUCGCUGCGUCCUGCUCCUCAAUAUGUCACCUUAGUCAUGGCCGCCUUAUCCCUCAUGCUGCUGAUUUGAAUCUGCCCUAAUCUUCUUCUCCUAGACUGCUCGAGCGCUUCAGCGGGUGCCUUGCCGACGACAGGGAAGGAAGGACCAGAGUAAGUAUAAUAUGGAAGUUCCUGUUCAAAUUAGUAGAAUAUGCUUACCAGGUGUUAGAAUUUAUAGAUAUAUACCACAAUUUUCACUACAGAUUAAAUAUAAUAUGAAAGUUCUUGUCAGUUUUCUUUGUAGUUAGUUUGCGACAAUCACAACAUGAUCAUUUGAAUAUUUUGUUGUAACAAAUCUAUUAUAGCUAUUGUUGUGAAAGAAAAAUCCUUAAAAAAUCACCCAAUAGCAACCCAAGGAAGUUAAGAGACAUAAAUGAUCAGAAUAUGGUUCCAUUAUGCUCCCUCUGUUCGAUAAUAUAUGACGUUUUCUGGCAGUACACAAUGCCAAAAACGUCUUAUAUUAUGGGACAGAAGCGAGUUUGUGAUUUUUUUGGUUAUUCUUGAUUCCACAUGCUUCAUUUGGGUGAAUAAUCCAUUGGCAUCCAAAUUUGGAGAUUAAUUCACCUAUGUAAUGUGCAUAAUCAAUGACACAUUUUUGCUAUGAUGAAUAUGUAAAUAAAUUUUGUACAAUUCCAUAAAUACACAGUUAAGCAUUUUUGUUGUAAAGAUAAUGUAGAUAAUUUUUUAUAGCUUUGCAAAUAAGAUUAACCUUGGUGUAUAAAUCCGAUCAGAGUAGAGGUAGCUAUGCAAUGGUCUUGCGUCACAUCAUUAGUCCAAGGCUCUAAGCACAUUCAUGGAGAAUCUAACAUCCCAACUACGCAUAUCUGUUUGUUCCAGAAGCCACGAAAUUGAGGUACGCAGAAGAUGAACAAACCUGAGAACUGAUGAUCCAAAGAAGAGUCGGAGCUCGAGCAUCACAUAGCUGUCAGCUAUGGUGGCUUGUAGGCGGAUGUGUCUCACACCUAAGUUUUUGCCGCUGGACCGUGGUUACGUUCAUCCUAGCUUGGAGGCAACGGUGUGGGUGGGUAUGCAUGUGCAAGGCGAAGAAGUGGACGAAGGCCGAAGAAGCAAUCUCUGCCUCCCUAUCGCUGCGUCCUGCUCCUCAAUAUGUCACCUUAGUCAUGGCCGCCUUAUCCCUCAUGCUGCUGAUUUGAAUCUGCC